This 81-nucleotide small nuclear RNA is filed under the name Saimiriine gammaherpesvirus 2 (Herpesvirus saimiri). The record is from RNAcentral. Lineage: Duplodnaviria; Heunggongvirae; Peploviricota; Herviviricetes; Herpesvirales; Orthoherpesviridae.
AUAUCCACAAAAUGCUUUGAUAAUUCCGAUUAAUUUUUGGAGGCACUAGGUACUUAGGCAAAUUUAGGGAAACUAGUGCCA